Molecule: ribosomal RNA, 491 nt
Filed under: uncultured bacterium
Lineage: Bacteria
Description: bacterial SSU rRNA
Rfam family: Bacterial small subunit ribosomal RNA
Source: RNAcentral
GAUGAACGCUAGCGGCAGGCUUAACACAUGCAAGUCGAGGGGUAUUGGUUUUCGGACCAAGAGACCGGCGCACGGGUGCGUAACGCGUAUGCAAUCUACCUUUUGCAGAGGGAUAGCCCAGAGAAAUUUGGAUUAAUACCUCAUAGUAUAGUACCUUGGCAUCAAGGAGCUAUUAAAGUCACAACGGCAAAAGAUGAGCAUGCGUCCCAUUAGCUAGUUGGUAAGGUAACGGCUUACCAAGGCGACGAUGGGUAGGGGUCCUGAGAGGGAGAUCCCCCACACUGGUACUGAGACACGGACCAGACUCCUACGGGAGGCAGCAGUGAGGAAUAUUGGACAAUGGGCGCAAGCCUGAUCCAGCCAUGCCGCGUGCAGGAUGACGGUCCUAUGGAUUGUAAACUGCUUUUUAANACAGGAAGAAACACUGGUUCGUAGAACCAGCUUGACGGUACUGUAAGAAUAAGGAUCGGACUAACUCGUGCCAGCAGCCG